GCGCCUCACCCGGUGAAGUUGGCACGGGUGACUGUCACCGUGACUGGCUUUCUGGAAACUCAAGGCUCCCGGUACGCAGAUGGCCGAGGCAGUGCAAGUGCCACAAGCAGCCACGGCUCCCGCACCCUGGAGACCUGGCUCAGCCACAUGGGCCACUGGAGCUGCCACAAUGGAGCUGUGGAUGUGAGGCCAGUGGGAGCCAGGAUGGCGCCAGCACCCCACCGACCCAGCCGGCCUGGGCAUUUGUGUCACUCUGUCCUCUGGACUGGGCAGUGCUGCAAAACCAGCAGGCGCGGGGACCGCAGCUGCCAGCGUUUAUGUCUGAGCAGGAGGGACCCCGAUGCCCCCACUCUCAGCACCAGGCUUUGCCUCUGACGUCUCCACCAGUGCGGGAAGGAGCUCCACACCAUGAUACCAGGAGGGAGGCCAUCUGUGUGCCCAUCAGAGUGAGUACCUCCCCCACCAAUGGGCUCCGAGGCCCGGGGACAGGGUGUGGCUGGCGUAGGCAGCACCUUGGGCAAUGAGCAACCUGCACAACAGGACCCAGCAGCCCAGGGUCCAAGAGAGCCCUGGACACUUUCUUGUGGACUGUCAAAAAGUUCUCCUGCCAG
Molecule: long non-coding RNA, 611 nt
Organism: Fukomys damarensis (Damara mole-rat)
Lineage: Eukaryota; Metazoa; Chordata; Mammalia; Rodentia; Bathyergidae
Exons: 3
Source: RefSeq, a predicted model, not a curated record